AGCGAACGCUGGCGGCAGGCUUAACACAUGCAAGUCGAGCGGGCACUUCGGUGUCAGCGGCAGACGGGUGAGUAACCCGUCGGAACGUACCCUUUGGUUCGGAAUAACGCUGGGAAACUAGCGCUAAUACCGGAUACGCCCUUUUGGGGAAAGGCUUGCUGCCGAAGGAUCGGCCCGCGUCUGAUUAGCUAGUUGGUUGGGUAAUGGCCUACCAAGGCGACGAUCAGUAGCUGGUCUGAGAGGAUGAUCAGCCACACUGGGACUAAGACACGGCCCAGACUCCUACGGGAGGCAGCAGUGGGGAAUAUUGGACAGUGGGCGCAAGCCUGAUCCAGCCAUGCCGCGUGAGUGAUGAAGGCAUUAGGGUUGUAAAGCUCUUUUGUCCGGGACGAUAAUGACGGUACCGGAAGAAUAAGCCCCGGCUAACUUCGUG
This 433-nucleotide ribosomal RNA is filed under the name uncultured bacterium. Its description in RNAcentral is "partial 16S ribosomal RNA". It matches the Rfam family "Bacterial small subunit ribosomal RNA", at positions 29 to 507 of the family's 1533-position model. The record is from RNAcentral.